GAUGAACGCUGGCGGCGUGCCUAACACAUGCAAGUCGAGCGGAAAUAAACUGAAGUAUUCGUACGGAAGAUUAUUUUAGCGGCGGACGGGUGAGUAACACGUGAGCAACCUGCCUUCAGCUGGGGAAUAACAUUGGGAAACCAGUGCUAAUACCGCAUGACAUCACGAGAGGACAUCCUCUUGUGAUCAAAGGAUUUCGAUCCGGCCGAAGAUGGGCUCGCGUCCGAUUAGUUAGUUGGUGAGGUAACGGCUCACCAAGACCGCGAUCGGUAGCCGAACUGAGAGGUUGAUCGGCCACAUUGGGACUGAGACACGGCCCAGACUCCUACGGGAGGCAG
RNAcentral lists this ribosomal RNA (338 nucleotides) under uncultured Bacillota bacterium. Its description in RNAcentral is "bacterial SSU rRNA". It matches the Rfam family "Bacterial small subunit ribosomal RNA", at positions 28 to 351 of the family's 1533-position model. The record is from RNAcentral. Lineage: Bacteria; Bacillati; Bacillota.